UACAAAAUUUAUCACUGAUUACCUUUUGCUGACAAACUUUUUGCUGGAUGAGAACUUCUUCAACGAUGGUAGAAAAACUAAAUCCAAUCUCUAGGAAAAUGUUCAGUAGCUUCAUUAGCUUGUACCUUUAGCUGUCUAUUGCGUACAUAUUAUAGCGGAUUUUAGCCAAGUGAAUUGCAGGGUAUUAUAGUCAUUCCCUCGUGCAUAUAUACUCAUCAUCUUCAUUGACUCCUCGUAGGCGUUUGACCAUGAAAACAAAAUAUUUUUCACUUUAUUUGGAAUAAGAUGAAGUUGUGAUUAAUUAUAAUUUUUGUAAAAAAUAUUUGAUUAUUUGAAUAUACUGAACGUGAAAACAGGGUUUUAAACUUUUAAUUGUUUAUCAAAUUUCAUGUAUAAUCAAAUAUUGAUUUUCAAAUAAAAUAAAAAAAGAAAAAGAAAGGGAAAAGGGUGAAAUAUUCUGAUGGCCAAACGGGUCCCUAGAAUCAGAAUCAAACACAAUUCUCCAUCUUCAGAUCUGUUCUUCCCUAAUCUUCAAACCCUAGCUCAGUCGUAUUUAAAUUAUGGCCUGAUAAAGAGAUGUGUUUGCUUAAGAGAAAUCAACCCAAAUUAUCCAAUUCUACAAAACCCACAAACCUUUCUCAAAAAACCUUUCUCGAAGACAUACAAAAUUGUACAGUAGCAGUUUUACUGCACGGAAAUGCAGAGGUAAAUCAUGGCUAGAGGAGACCAACUCGGUUAUUUGCCCGAAUCGAUCCUACUUCACAUCCUCUCAAUGUCAGUUCCGCUAUCACUCGAUUUCAGAUUCCCCAUUAGUAAUACCAAAGAGUCCACUCUUGAUUACCUAGCUUCCGUGUCGUGCGAAAAAACCUGAAAAUUUAGGGUGUGGUGCCUUAGGUAAGAGGAGCGAUAUGCUAAAGAUGUUGAUUUAUGGCUACAUUUUGUUACGAAAGUUGAAGAUUUUAAACUUGAACUUUUUGCAAAUGACAAAAGAUAUGAGUUUCCUCAAUUUGCAUAGAAAGAUGCCUCCUUGAGGAAUUGGUUUUAUUGUACCGCUAAUUGAACCUUCUGGCACUGUUAACUGGAAUAGUCUCGUUUCUCUUUCAAUUGGUUGCCUGAAAGUGACAGAUGGUGUCAUGCAAAAGGUAUUAUCUGAUUGCCUAACUUGGAGUGCUUGAAAUUAGAGUGGGUUUCGGGCGUACAUCGUUUGGAGAUCAGCUCGGUGAAGUUGAGAGAAUUGACCAUAGAAUACUACUAUGAUGACAUUUUGCUCGAAAUAUUAGUCCAGUAUAUACAAACAUUGGAACUUUUGGGGUUCUGCAAUGAGAUAUGCAUUGGGCAGCUCUGUGAACCAAUUCCUUAAAGAGGCAUUUUUAGAGGAAACUCAUAUCUUUUGCCGUUUGGGCAAAGUUCAAGUGUAAAAUCUUCAACUUUAGUAGCAAAAUGUAGCUAUGAAUCAACAUCUUUAGCAUAACCCUCCUCGUAACGAAGGAAACACACCGUAAAUUUCGGGGAUUUUCUCGACCUCCAAUAAUAAAGUUCCUUGUGGAUGAAGCUAGGCAAGAGUGGACUCUUUGGUAUCAUUAAUGGGAGACAUCCAAAGAGACCUCCAUCACCUAAAUAAUAAGCUUGUUCGCACAACUUGUUUUCCGUCCGACAACAUAGAGAGGAUUUGAAGUAGGAUUGAUUCAGACAAUCACUGAGUCGGUCUCCUCUAACCAUGAUUUCCAUGGAGUAAAACUGCUAGUGUUGUCUGUUAACAAUUUUUGUCUUCGAGAAAGGUUUUAUGGAAUAGGGAGUUGGUCUGUAAUUUGAAUUAAUUCCGCUUAAGCAAAUAUAUCCCUUUAUCAGGCCACAAUGUAGCAACUCAAACCCUAGCUCAGUCGAUCGUAUGACUAUAUCACCAUGACAUCUUCUUCUUUUACCAGUGUUUCACAAGUUCCUUGAUGGAAAUACGAAGUUAUAUCGUUGUUUUGUGAUGUGGAUCCAUCCGAAACCCACCGGAUAUCUUUACUGAAGCCUUUGCCAAACAUGAAUCCAAGUAUUAAAAUGACGUUGAAGGAAUACAUAAGGUGCAAAGAUGGAGGACAGCCCUUACUCAAGUGGCCAAUCUAAAAGGCUUUGAUAUCCUCAAUGGCUGUCAUGUAUGCCGUUCAGACUCUGAAUUCCAACAAUUUGUUCGUGCAUUGUCCAGUAGAUUAGCUAGAGACAUCUGGAAUAUGUUCUUACCCCUUUCUGGUCUGAUGUGGGUUAUGCCUUGUAGCUUGAAGGAAGCUUCCAUUAGCUGUUGGAAAGUGCAGAAAAUCUAACAAUCUAAGACUGGAUUCAAUAGCAGAUCCUGCUUGCAUUUAUUUUGCCCUUUCAUCCCGAGUAUUGUAUCUUAACAAUAACUUCAAUUAGAUAGCUAUCACUAUCUAUCCAAAGCGGUUUUAUUUUACCCUAUGGA
Molecule: long non-coding RNA, 2443 nt
Organism: Lycium barbarum (goji berry)
Lineage: Eukaryota; Viridiplantae; Streptophyta; Magnoliopsida; Solanales; Solanaceae
Exons: 2
Source: RefSeq, a predicted model, not a curated record